UACUUUUUUACAAUCAGAUAAAUCCAAAUGUUAGCCAGAAUUGGUCCCAUAGCCAUAAAAUUUAGUAUAAUACUCGGAUUCAUAUGCUUGCCUCUAAAAUUUCAGAGAUUUGGUAUUGCUGUUAGUUUAAUGAGUUUCUCUUAAAAUUGAGCAACUUGGCUAGAGAAAACUUAUUAAUUUAGAGUUUAUAAUAUAAGCGCAAUUGAAGAAACUCAUAGUAUGAAUCAUGUCAUCAAAAUUUGUAAAUCUCUUUUGAAGUUGUGACUUUAUUUCUACUACAGUCAUAUGAUACUUCAAAAUCUGUGAUUCCAUGAAGCCAAGAGUAGCUCUUCAACAGGAAAUGAAUGAGUGCUUCAGCUUCUGAUCCCAUUAGUAAGAAAAUACAGUCUUAUGAGCAAUGAUGGAGCUGCAUCUCUUAGGGGCAUUUGAUUCCCAAGAGACCAAAGAGCAAAGAGAAUGUCAAUUUAAAAAAAUCAAAUGUUUCCAUGACUUAGCUAUUUAACUGCUUUAAAAUGAAUGAAUGCUGCUUCAAGUUCUUUCAAAUACCCCACAUCUUGGCAACAACGAAAGGAAUUAACAUGAAGAAAAUUUACAAUCUUUCAUCACAUCGAACAAUGUCCCACAUUUGAAAAGUUCACAGCACAGAUUUCUGGUUACUGAAAGAAAGGAAAGACCUUCUUUGGAUUUGAAUAAACAGAUGGACUUUCU
This 708-nucleotide long non-coding RNA is filed under the name Homo sapiens (human). RNAcentral describes it as "novel transcript". The record is from RNAcentral. Lineage: Eukaryota; Metazoa; Chordata; Mammalia; Primates; Hominidae.